GCAAGCUUGGGGACAAGUGGGACAGAAACAAUGGGUGCAGGGAAGGAUGCACAGGUGAUAGAGCUCCAGGACCGACUGUCCCCACCCCCACCCCAUUAGCCAAUGUGGGUGAUCUGGAGUUCUCACCCAGAAGCCCACAAUAACCCCAUUCACUCCUCUGAACGCCGGCAGCAUGCUAAAUACUCACUGGAGAUGGGCAGAGUCUUCAAGAGCUUCCAUUCUUCUUUCUCUGCGAGUGGGAUUCCCAUGUUUUCCAGAACGUUUUUUAUGUCUUUGAUGUCAACUUUUUCUCCUUUAAGAAAAUGGGAACUAUUUCAGGACAAGAGAUAACAAUUUCAAUGUAAGGAAAACAGACUGACACACAAGAUGUUUAACCCCAAGAGGAAGCAACUACAAAGAUGUG
RNAcentral lists this long non-coding RNA (403 nucleotides) under Rattus norvegicus (Norway rat). RNAcentral's name for it is "long non-coding RNA NONRATT006144". Lineage: Eukaryota; Metazoa; Chordata; Mammalia; Rodentia; Muridae. The record is from RNAcentral.